GUGGGGAAUCUUGCGCAAUGGGCGAAAGCCUGACGCAGCCAUGCCGCGUGAAUGAUGAAGGUCUUAGGAUUGUAAAAUUCUUUCACCGGGGACGAUAAUGACGGUACCCGGAGAAGAAGCUCCGGCUAACUUCGUGCCAGCAGCCGCGGUAAUACGAAGGGGGCUAGCGUUGCUCGGAAUUACUGGGCGUAAAGGGCGCGUAGGCGGACAGCUUAGUCAGAGGUGAAAGCCCAGGGCUCAACCUUGGAAUUGCCUUUGAUACUGGCUGUCUGGAGUUUGGGAGAGGUAAGUGGAACUCCGAGUGUAGAGGUGAAAUGCGUAGAUAUAGGAAGGAACACCAGUGGCGUAAGCGGCUAUCUGGACGAGUAUUGACGCUGAGGCACGAAAGCGUGGGGAUCAAACAGGAUUAGAUACCCCGGUAGUCC
RNAcentral lists this ribosomal RNA (425 nucleotides) under uncultured bacterium. RNAcentral describes it as "partial 16S ribosomal RNA". It matches the Rfam family "Bacterial small subunit ribosomal RNA", at positions 354 to 796 of the family's 1533-position model. The record is from RNAcentral.